CUAUGAUCUUUGAUUCGAUUCUCUUCUCUAUAACAAAACUCAAUAUUAUCAACCACCAAAGAUCAAAACUUCUAUGAAAAUUGAAUUAAGAAUCUAAAACCCUAAAUAUACCUCAGAGUCGCGGCUUCGACGGCUUCGAUAAUAUGGUUCUCGAUAAAUUUUGCUAACACUUUCUAUAAUUUUAUCCCACUUUCUGUUACCCCUCUGCGUAUGGGAUUUCUUACACAUUUCUCACGGCAGUUCUGCUCUGAACCUUCUUCAAGAAUGGUGCUUACCUAUUUCUGAAUUUUUAGAGAGAGAGAUGGUGAUCGAGAAAAAUGUUUCAGGCGAUCUUUGAAGGCUUCUGUAAUAUCAAAGAAGAAAUCGAGAAAAGGAUGGCCAAGUCUUCUUUCUGGGGCUCGUCACUUGGAUGGUAUCUUGUUGCGAAGGCAUCUACUAGCUCUUCUCUCAAGUCUACUAAGAUUGUGGAGAUAAGUUCAAGUUGUUGCAGUAGUUUAGAUCUUCCGUUCUUCUCUUGCGUGGAGGUAACCGUUCAUUUGUCUGUAGGUGGCUUUGGACGGGUCUACGAGUGUCCGUGUGUAAGCGCUGUUGAUCCUCUUUGGUGUGUCCCCAUUCGAAGGUCAAUGUAUCUUAUAUCUUGAGCCUUGUUCUUCUCGACUGCAUAUCUUUUUUGGGUUGGUCGUGGUGGCUUUGUUACUGUGCUCUGUUCUUUGUCGUUCCUGUGGUCCUUUCUGCCCGUUCUGAUGUUGUUUUGUGCUCGGGUUUAGUGCCUAUCGGUUCUCAUCGAGGCUCAUUGUUCUUCGGCUCAGCUUCGGCAUCUUUAGUUUCUUUGGUUUGGUCAUGGGAGCGAUGUUCAGCUUUUGUAAUCCUUGUUCAUUUGCAUUUCUCCAUCUUUUCCUCUUAACAUAGUUGUGUUAUACCUUUGUGUUUGGCUUUGUGUAUUUCUAUGCAUGUAUGGCUCUUUUGUGUAGGGUUUCAGUUUCCGGGAGUUGUUUGAAUUCGUCGGCUUUCUCUCCAGAAGGCUGUUAUCCUUGUCGGCUUUGUACUUGUUCUGGCUUUGGUUUUGUACUCUUAUGGUUUGAUCAAUAAAAAUUCAAAGAUGACUUAAAAAAAAAGGUUUAU
Molecule: long non-coding RNA, 1122 nt
Organism: Eutrema salsugineum
Lineage: Eukaryota; Viridiplantae; Streptophyta; Magnoliopsida; Brassicales; Brassicaceae
Exons: 2
Source: RefSeq, a predicted model, not a curated record